CUAGUGGCGGACGGGUGAGUAACGCGUGGGUAACCUGCCUUAUACAGGGGGAUAACAACCAGAAAUGGUUGCUAAUACCGCAUAAGCGCACAGGACCGCAUGGUCCGGUGUGAAAAACUCCGGUGGUAUAAGAUGGACCCGCGUUGGAUUAGCUAGUUGGCAGGGUAACGGCCUACCAAGGCGACGAUCCAUAGCCGGCCUGAGAGGGUGAACGGCCACAUUGGGACUGAGACACGGCCCAGACUCCUACGGGAGGCAGCAUG
This 263-nucleotide ribosomal RNA is filed under the name uncultured bacterium. RNAcentral's name for it is "partial 16S ribosomal RNA". It matches the Rfam family "Bacterial small subunit ribosomal RNA", at positions 92 to 353 of the family's 1533-position model. The record is from RNAcentral.